GGGCUACAGAAAUUUCAUUUGCCAGAGACAUCAUGGAAUCUCUCUAUGGGAAACUUAUAAAAUGGGUGUUGGUCCUUGAAACUUCGGAAAGUAUGAGCCUUAAAAUACUAAAACAAUGAAACGUUUUCUGGUGUUGUAACUAAAGAGAAUCAAGGCCACAGUAAUGAGAAGGAAUGAGAAGGUUGCGUGUACCUUCGGAAAAAGGCAGCCAGAUGGGGGCCAGAAAGGAAUCCAUGAAAUAUUCCUGGCAGAAGGAGCAGAGACCUUGAGAUGGAAGAAGUGGAUGGAAGUCAAGGCAAACAGAAAGCCAGGAAUGUUGAACAGGGCUUUCUGCUACUGUGCCCACUGCCAUCUCUGCCAGUACUUCUCUCAUGUUUCAAUGACACAGUCCCAUAAAUCUGACAGG
This is a long non-coding RNA of Hemibagrus wyckioides, 406 nucleotides long. RefSeq lists it as uncharacterized. The transcript has 3 exons. Lineage: Eukaryota; Metazoa; Chordata; Actinopteri; Siluriformes; Bagridae. The record is from RefSeq and is a predicted model, not a curated record.